UACGGAGGGUGCGAGCGUUGUCCGGAUUUAUUGGGUUUAAAGGGUGCGUAGGCGGCCCGUUAAGUCCGGGGUGAAAGCCCGCUGCUCAACAGCGGAAUGGCCCUGGAUACUGGCGGGCUUGAGUCCAGACGAGGUUGGCGGAACAGAGGCUGUAGCGGUGAAAUGCAUAGAUAGCCUCUAGAACCCCGAUUGCGUAGGCAGCUGACUAGGCUGGCACUGACGCUGAGGCACGAAAGCGUGGGGAGCGAACAGG
This 253-nucleotide ribosomal RNA is filed under the name uncultured bacterium. RNAcentral's name for it is "partial 16S ribosomal RNA". It matches the Rfam family "Bacterial small subunit ribosomal RNA", at positions 524 to 776 of the family's 1533-position model. The record is from RNAcentral.